RNAcentral lists this ribosomal RNA (442 nucleotides) under uncultured bacterium. Its description in RNAcentral is "partial 16S ribosomal RNA". It matches the Rfam family "Bacterial small subunit ribosomal RNA", at positions 338 to 795 of the family's 1533-position model. The record is from RNAcentral.
UCUACGGGUGGCUGCAGUGGGGAAUAUUGCGCAAUGGGCGAAAGCCUGACGCAGCGACGCCGCGUGCGGGAUGAAGGCCUUCGGGUUGUAAACCGCUGUCGGGAGGGACGAAGUUCUGACGGUACCUCCAAAGGAAGCACCGGCUAACUCUGUGCCAGCAGCCGCGGUAAUACAGAGGGUGCAAGCGUUGUCCGGAAUCACUGGGCGUAAAGGGCGCGUAGGCGGCCUGGUAAGUCGGGGGUGAAACGCUGCGGCUCAACCGCAGCACUGCCUUCGAGACUGCUGGGCUUGAGCACGGUAGAGGCUGGUGGAAUUCCCGGUGUAGCGGUGGAAUGCGUAGAGAUCGGGAAGAACAUCGGUGGCGAAGGCGGCCAGCUGGGCCGUUGCUGACGCUGAGGCGCGACAGCGUGGGGAGCAAACAGGAUUAGAUACCCGUGUAGUC